RNAcentral lists this ribosomal RNA (214 nucleotides) under uncultured bacterium. RNAcentral's name for it is "partial 16S ribosomal RNA". It matches the Rfam family "Bacterial small subunit ribosomal RNA", at positions 562 to 775 of the family's 1533-position model. The record is from RNAcentral.
AAAGGGAACGUAGACGGUGAUGUAAGUCUGGAGUGAAAGGCGGGGGCUCAACCCCGGGACUGCUUUGGAAACUGCCUGACUGGAGUGCUGGAGAGGCAAGCGGAAUUCCUAGUGUAGCGGUGAAAUGCGUAGAUAUUAGGAAGAACACCAGUGGCGAAGGCGGCUUGCUGGACAGUAACUGACGUUGAGGCUCGAAAGCGUGGGGAGCAAACAG